This 254-nucleotide ribosomal RNA is filed under the name uncultured bacterium. Its description in RNAcentral is "partial 16S ribosomal RNA". It matches the Rfam family "Bacterial small subunit ribosomal RNA", at positions 524 to 776 of the family's 1533-position model. The record is from RNAcentral.
UACGUAGGGGGCAAGCGUUGUCCGGAGUUACUGGGCGUAAAGCGCACGCAGGCGGUCUCUUAAGUUUGGAGUGACAGUCGGUGGCUUAACUGCCAAAGUGCUUCGAAAACUGAGAGACUUGAGGGCUUCAGAGGGACACGGAAUUCCGGGUGGAGUGGUGAAAUGCGUAGAGAUCCGGAGGAACACCAAAGGCGAAGGCAGUGUCCUGGGGAGUACCUGACGCUCAGGUGCGAAAGCCAGGGGAGGCGAACGGG